GGGCCCGUAGCUCAGCCUGGCAGAGCGCCGGGCUCAUAACCCGGUGGUCCCCGGUUCGAAUCCGGGCGGGCCCA
RNAcentral lists this transfer RNA (74 nucleotides) under archaeon. RNAcentral describes it as "tRNA-Ile". It matches the Rfam family "tRNA". From Rfam's summary of the family: Transfer RNA (tRNA) molecules are approximately 80 nucleotides in length. Their secondary structure includes four short double-helical elements and three loops (D, anti-codon, and T loops). RNAcentral also lists the same sequence under 1 other name. The record is from RNAcentral.